Carya illinoinensis is the source of this 819-nucleotide long non-coding RNA. RefSeq lists it as uncharacterized. NCBI's taxonomy places the organism in Eukaryota, Viridiplantae, Streptophyta, Magnoliopsida, Fagales, Juglandaceae. The transcript is spliced from 2 exons. The record is from RefSeq and is a predicted model, not a curated record.
CACAACUCCAGAAAGAAGAUGGUGCACGAAAACAGAAGUCCCAGACCAAAAAGAAAACCAAUAGAAAAUUAUUGAUAGAAUCGAAUUAAGCUGAACAAAAGAAAUCUAUAUACUUUUUCCUCCUCGGGAAAACUUCCAUACUCUUCAUCGAAAAGUUCUUUCCCAGUAACCAAUCGGAAAGUAGCGAGAGAAAAUUCGGUACUUUGGGCUUGUCACGCGUGCAGAGGUCGGCGAGGAUUCGGUUGAGCGAGUCGAAGCUGCAGCCUCCAGCCCCGGAGGCGACGGCCGCAGCAGCUGCAGCUGCAGCGCCGGCGGAGAAGCGGAGGGACUGUGACGUGUACGCCAUGUGGCUCCCACGAUUGAGAAACCCUAGAGAGUCCUCUCUCUUUCUCUCUCCGAAUCUUUCACCCAGAUCUUCGAUUCUUCAAGGCAUCGAAAUGGACACAAAGCCGCCGUGUCGUGUUUUCCGGUCGGUUAUAGGCGUUAUGAGUACGCGUGGUGAGUGUGUGUAAACUCUCAUUUUUACUGUGCAAGAAAGACCGGUCUUUCAUAAAUGUUGCCAACAAAAGCUAAACCCCAGUCCCUUUUUUAAUAUUUCUGGGUUCCAAACAAAUUAGAUACCAUUUUAGGUUUAGUUUUUUUUUUUCGUUUACUGAAUUUUUUUAGAUUAUCCCUUUUAUGAAAAAAAAUUACUAAAUUCACCAGCCGUAUGUAUGUAUGUAUGCAUCACACUCAUUAAUUAUAUUGUUCAUAAGUCUGGUCCGUAUGCACGGAUUCUUCUUUUAUCAACAAAAAUAUAUAUAUUUAGAAGAGUAACAA